UACGGAGGGUGCGAGCGUUAAUCGGAAUUACUGGGCGUAAAGCGUGCGUAGGUGGUCGUUUAAGUCCGUUGUGAAAGCCCUUGGCUCAACCUGGGAACUGCAGUGGAUACUGGACGACUAGAGUGUGGUAGAGGGUAGCGGAAUUCCAGGUGUAGCGGUGAAAUGCGUAGAUAUCUGGAGGAACACCAAUGGCGAAGGCAGCUUACUGGACAAUAACUGACGCUGAUGUACGAAAGCGUGGGUAGCGAACAGG
This 253-nucleotide ribosomal RNA is filed under the name uncultured bacterium. RNAcentral's name for it is "partial 16S ribosomal RNA". It matches the Rfam family "Bacterial small subunit ribosomal RNA", at positions 524 to 776 of the family's 1533-position model. The record is from RNAcentral.